RNAcentral lists this long non-coding RNA (4686 nucleotides) under Homo sapiens (human). RNAcentral describes it as "non-protein coding lnc-SNRPN-8:115". The stretch from base 463 to 558 matches the Rfam family "Small nucleolar RNA SNORD116". Lineage: Eukaryota; Metazoa; Chordata; Mammalia; Primates; Hominidae. The record is from RNAcentral.
AGAUGCUCAAUUCUUCUGAGCAACGAAGGCCACACGGAGUCCUGGAUUCUGUGUGGCCUGGCAUCCAUGGCGCACUGUGUGCUGGCAGGUGGCUCAGGACGGGGCAGUUAUCAUGGGACACCCGCCAUAUGCUGGCAAGGAAGAUGGUCAGUUCUUCUGAGCCACAAAGGCCCCCAACAUCCUGGAGUUGGUGUUGCCUAGCAUCCACGGUGCGCCCCCUGCUGGUGGAUGGCUCAGGAUGGGGCAGUUGCCGUGGGAGGCCCGCUGCCUGCUGGAAGGAAGAUGGUCAGUUCUUCUGAACCACAAAGGCCCUGCAGAGUCCUGGAGUCUGUGUGGCCUGGCUUCCAGGGUUCACCUCAUGCUGGUGGAUUGCUCAGGAUGGGUGCCGAAGGUCUUUAAGGUCGUCAGCUCACCUACUGCCCAGCCUGUGGUGUCAAAUGUCCUGCCUCUUCAAAUGUGUUUGGAUCGAUGAUGAGUCCCCCCAAAAAAACAUUCCUUGGAAAAGCUGAACAAAAUGAGUGAAAACUCAUACCGUCGUUCUCAGCGGAACUGAGGUCCAGCGCGUUGCCUCCAGCAGGGACUGUUGGAGUGAGGGAGAGCUUCCACUAGUCCCUAUAGGUUCCACCACCCAGGGCAUCCGCAGGGACAGUUGCCGUGGGAGGUCCGCUGCCUGCUGUCAAGGAAGAUGGUCGAUGCUUCUGAGAAACAGGCCCUGCGGGUUCCUGGAUUUGGUGUGGCCUGGCAUCCACGGUGCACCCCGUGCUGGCGGGUGGCCCAGGACGGGGCAGUUGCCUUGAGAGGCCCACCGCCUGCUGGCAUGACAGAUGGUCAGUUCUUCCGAGCAGUGGAAUCUCCAUGGAGUCGUGGAGUCGGUGUGGCCUCGCAUCCACAGUGCACCCUGUGCUGGUGGAUGGCUCAGGACACAGUUGUCAUGAGAGGUCUGCCGCUUGCUGGCAAGGAAGAUGGUCAAUUCUUCUGACCAACAGAGGCUGCCUUGAGUCCUGAUUUGGUGUGGCCUGGCAUCUAUGGUGCACCCAAUGCUGGGGCAGUUGCCGUGGGAGGCCUGCCGUCUGCUGAAAGGAAGAUGGUUGAUGCUUCUGAGCAAUGAAGGCCCCAUGGAGUCCUGGAUUCGGUGUGGCCUUGCAUCCGUGGUGCACCCCGUGCUGGUGGAUGGCUCAGGACGGGGCAGUUGCCAUGGGAGGCGCAGGCCUGCUGGAAGGAAGAUGGUCGAUUCUCCCAAGCAACAAAGGCCACGUAGAGUCCUGGUUUCAGUGUGGCCUGGUAUCCACAGUGCACCCCGUGCUGGUGGGUGGCUCAGGACGCACACUCAUUUCCUCUGCACCUUCCUGGUGUCAUUGGCAUGGAAGGAAGGCCCUUGUCCAAGAAGGAUGGUCUUCGUCUUGUGUGAUCUUUGAGAUGCCAUGAGGCCCCUGGAUACAAAUGGUGUGGGCUCCUUUGGAGGCUUUUGGAUUUCUCCUGAAUGUGGCGUUGGUAUGGAAGGAAGGCCAGUGACCGCAAGGGAUGACUUUGAUCUUGGGAGAUUUUUGGAGAUGGCAAAGUGCUUCUAAACAUGUUUGGCAUGGUCUCCUUCAGGCUGGUGGAUACCUCAGGAUGGUGGCGUUGGCAUGGAAGGAAGGACUGUGUCUGUGAGGGAUGAUCAUCCUCUCAUGUGAUCCUUGGAGAUGCCAGGAAGCCCCUUGACACAUGUGGCAUGGGCUCCUUCAGAGGCUUUUGGAUCCGUCGUGAAUGUGGCAUGGGCAUGCAAAGAAAGACAGAGGCUGCAAGGGAUAAACUUCAUCUUGGGAGAUCCCUGGAGAUGGCAGGGAACCCAUGGACACAUGUGGCAUGGGCUCCUUUGGGUGCCGGUGGAUCCCUUCAUACGGUGGUGUGGGCAUGGAAGGAAGGCCAGUGGAGACAAUGGAUGAUCUUGUUCUUAGCAGAUCACUGGAUGUGGCAGGGAGUCCUAGGACAUGUGUGGUGUGGGCUUCUUCAGGUGCUGGUGGUGUUGGCAUGAGGAAAGGAGGUAUCUUCGAGGGACAAUCUUCUUCUUGUGCGAUCCUUGGAGAUGCCAUGAGGCCCCUGGACACAUGUGGUGUGGGCUCCUUUGGAGGCUGUUGUAUCCCUUCUGAAUGUGGCGUGGGCAUAGAAGGAAGGCCAGUGGCCACGAGGGACAAUCUUGGUCUUGGGAGAUCCUGGAAAUGAUAGGGAGUCCCUUGAUAUGUGUGGCAUGGGCUCCUUCAGGUGCUAGUGGAUUCCUUAGGAUGGUGGUGUUGGCAUGAAAGGCAGGCUUGUAUCAUGAGGAAUGAUUGUCAUCUUGUCUGAUUCUUGGAGAUGGCAGGAAGCCCCUGGAAACACAUGGUGUGGACUCUUUCACAGGCUGUUGAAACCCUCCUGAAUGUGUUGUGGCCAUGGAAGUAAGGCCAGUGGCUACGAGGGACAGUCUUCAUCUUGGGAGAUCCCUAGAGAGGGCAGGGAGCCCCUUGACAUGUGGAAUGUGAUCUCUGUUGGGUGCUGGUGGAUCCCACAGGUGGUCUGGCAUGGAAGAAGGCCAGAGGCUGCGAUGGAUCAUCUUUGUCUUGGGAGAUUCCUGGAGAUGGUGGGGAGCCCCUGGGCACGUGCAGCAUAUGUGGCGUGGGCUUCUUCAGGUGCUGGUGGAUCCCUCAGGAUGCUUUUCAAGGUUUUUCUAUGAGUUCUGUUAAAGAGUCUGAAAAUGGAGCGUAGAAGACAUGCUUCGAUUUCCAGGAUGGUUGUGUUUUCCAGAGAGGCGGAGGUAAACCACUGGCGCAGCCCUGCCUCCCACAGAUAAUUCCGGGUGCAGUGUUUCAUAUCUAGACUUGGACUUCUAUCCUACCAUACUUCUUUGUGUGCAGUUCAUUGUGGAACCAGCACAGAUUUUCAUACGAAAGUUAUUUCUUUUUAACCUCAAAAAGUGACAGAAUGGAGUGUAUCAUGAAAAAGUCUGACAUCAAAACCUCAAAAUGUGAUAUUGAUUGGGUGAGAUAGAAUUCCAUGGAAUUUCAUUGCCAAACCAGUGAAGUGCUAAUUUUGACAUUUGUACCAGCUAACGUAGCUGUGAAGAAACACACCAAUACACUUCUAAGGACAGCAUAGACCAAGAUCUAGGUUUCAUAUGGAUGAAUUUAUUCUUCCCUUUGAGGCAAGACAAGAAGGAAAGAAAGUAUUGGGAAUAAUGCUGCCCUCCCAUCCUCAAGGGCCAGUGGGAACUCUAAUAUUGAUUGGUUUUCACAGAAUUCCAUGGACUUUAACUGCUGAACCAAUGAUGCACUGAUUUUGUCACUUGUACCAGCUAACGCAUCUGGGAGGCAACAAAACAAUACUCUCCUGAGGUUAAUGUGGACCAAAAACUAGAUUUCAUAUAAAAGAGUUUAUUCCUUCUACUUGAGGUGUGACAUGAAGGAAAGUAAUGGAAAUAAUUCUGCCCUCCCAUUCUCAAGGGCCAGGGGGAAUUCAAAUAUUGAACGGAAGUGAUUUUGGAAUUGCAUGGAAUUCUCACUGCCAUCCCAAAGAAAUGCUGAUCUUGUCACUCUUACCUGUUUCAUUCCCUGGGGGCAGAACAAAAGGACGCACUCCAAAGAUCGGCAUGAACCAAGAACUGGGUUUCAUAUAAAAUAUUUUAUUCUGUCCUCUUGAGAUGUGACAUGAGAAAAGUAUUGAGAAUACUUCUAUCACCUCAUCUUCAAGAAUCCGUAGGAAUUCUCCCAUGGUGGACUUUACGGUUAACCUGAACAGGUCUUGGAAAAAGGACUUUAAACAUUCUCCUGUUCUGUGGAAUAAGUAUACUUUUUUCUGGACAUACACCUUGUCAGUGAGUUCCAUGUGAUACUAGAGUUGCAUAGAUUUUUAACCUUUACGCCAAUGAAGAUCUGAGGCAAACAUUGCCCCUUUUUUAGAAGUUUGCAUUUGUCACUGAUAACUGUAAUAAUUGAUCUUGUUGAAAAGCCUGGGAAAUGAAGAUCUGAUAUGUCACUUUUACCGGCUUCCUCAACUGAAAAAGAAUACAAUGAAACACGCUGAGAAUUUUUGUGCUUUCUCAGUCUUGCUGAUGAUCUUUCUAUGGGCCUGAAGCGUGGAGAGUGCCAGAGAGGCUGAUCCUCAGCAGUGUGGCAGAGGAAAGUUGGGUGCGACUAAGGGGUAUGCGGUGCCCACAUGCCACUGGGUCCUCAGCAGUACCACCUGAUUGGAAGUGAUAUUGGUGGAAGACAACAUUUUGCCGCUUGGAAUUCUCACCUCCACACCAAAGAAGUACUGUUUUUGUCAUUUGCACCAGCUUCUUUCUCCAGGAAAGAUCAAAACGAUGCACUGCAAGUGUGAUUGGUCCAGAUAGCUGCCUUAUCCAACUGCCUCCUUUGGACCACUUCAUCAUGGGACAGCUUGAUGCAAUCUACUUGACAAGACCCUGGAACCCCACACCCCUCAUGGAACCAGUGUCCACCUCCCAGUCACAGUGUGACCCCAGGGAACUCUUGCCUGCUUGCUUUAAACCCACCACUUAAAAGUCUCCACAGAAAACCUGUUUGAAUAGUACCCUUGACCCAAUAAGGGCAUUGGCCCCUGGGUGUCUCUCUCUCUCUCUCUCUCUCUCUCUCCCUCUCUCUCCCUCUCUCUCUCUCGCUCCCUGACCUCUGCGUGUGGACUCCAGGCAUGCCAUAUACCCCUCAGGACCUG